RNAcentral lists this ribosomal RNA (90 nucleotides) under Olsenella sp. An293. The record is from RNAcentral. Lineage: Bacteria; Bacillati; Actinomycetota; Coriobacteriia; Coriobacteriales; Atopobiaceae.
ACCCGGUCCCAUUCCGAACCCGGAAGUUAAGCCCCCGAGCGCCGAUGGUACUGCGGAGUCAGUCCGUGGGAGAGCAGGACGUCGCUGACC